This 563-nucleotide ribosomal RNA is filed under the name Thyroscyphus marginatus. Its description in RNAcentral is "partial large subunit ribosomal RNA". It matches the Rfam family "Bacterial large subunit ribosomal RNA", at positions 1811 to 2577 of the family's 2925-position model. The record is from RNAcentral. Lineage: Eukaryota; Metazoa; Cnidaria; Hydrozoa; Leptothecata; Sertulariidae.
AAACAUAGCCCUAGAAAAAUUCUAAGGUGCAACCUGCCCAAUGAUUUUAAAUUAAAAAUGAGUAAAAUACAUUUAAUAAAAUUUAAAGGACGCGGUAACCUUGACCGUGAUAAUGUAGCAUAAUCAUUCGCCAUUUAAUUGAUGGAUAGUAUGAAUGGUUAAACGAAUGUCCCACUGUCUCAAAGAGAAAUUCUAAAAAAUUGGAAUAAUAGUAAAGAUACUAUUUAAAAUUGUAAGACGAAAAGACCCUAUAGAGCUUGACUACAUUCUUUUAUACUUAAAAAGAAAGGUAGUUUAGUUGGGGCGACUUUCUUUUAAAAAAAACGAAGAAACAUAAAAAAAAUAAAAUUAAUAAAUUACUGUAUAAUAAAUGAAUUUAACAGUUAUGAUAAUAGAUUAUAAGACCCGUUAUAAUUGAGUAAUAAAUAUAACGAUUAAUAAAUAAAAGCUACCUUAGGGAUAACAGGAUAAUUUCAUUUUAGAGACCCAAUCAAAAAUGAAGUUUGUCACCUCUAUGUUGAAUUAAGAUAUCCUAACGAUGCAGAAGUUGUUAAAGGUAGGUC